AAACCAACAGGGAUUACCUCAGUAACGGCGAGUGAGCGGUAACAGCUCAAAUUUGAAAUCUGGGUCUUUCAGGCUCCGAGUUGUAAUUUGUAGAAGAUGCUUCGGGUGCGGCUCCGGUCUAAGUUCCUUGGAACAGGACGUCAUAGAGGGUGAGAAUCCCGUAUGUGAUCGGUUGCUUGCGCCCAUGUGAAGCUCUUUCGACGAGUCGAGUUGUUUGGGAAUGCAGCUCAAAAUGGGUGGUAAAUUUCAUCUAAAGCUAAAUAUUGGCCAGAGACCGAUAGCGCACAAGUAGAGUGAUCGAAAGAUGAAAAGCACUUUGGAAAGAGAGUUAAACAGUACGUGAAAUUGUUGAAAGGGAAGCGCUUGCAACCAGACUUGCGCGUUGCCGAUCAUCCGGGGUUCUCCCCGGUGCACUCGGCCUCGCUCAGGCCAGCAUCGGUUUUGGUGGUGGGAUAAAGGCCUUGGGAAUGUAGCUCCUUUCGGGGAGUGUUAUAGCCCUCGGUGCAAUGCCGCCUACCGGGACCGAGGACCGCGCUUCGGCUAGGAUGCUGGCGUAAUGGUUGUAAGCGAC
Molecule: ribosomal RNA, 571 nt
Filed under: uncultured fungus
Lineage: Eukaryota; Fungi
Description: eukaryotic LSU rRNA
Rfam family: Eukaryotic large subunit ribosomal RNA
Source: RNAcentral